UGAGGUGAGAUGGAUGACUAUAGUGGUAUCUACCAGGUCCAUACAGACACUGGAGGGGAUGAGGUGAGAUGGAUGACUAUAGUGGUAUCUACCAGGUCCAUACAGACACUGGAGGGGAUGAGGUGAGAUGGAUGACUAUAGUGGUAUCUACCAGGUCCAUACAGACACUGGAGGGGAUGAGGUGAGAUGGAUGACUAUAGUGGUAUCUACCAGGUCCAUACAGACACUGGAGGGGAUGAGGUGAGAUGGAUGACUAUAGUGGUAUCUACCAGGUCCAUACAGACACUGGAGGGGAUGAGGUGAGAUGGAUGACUAUAGUGGUAUCUACCAGGUCCAUACAGACACUGGAGGGGAUGAGGUGAGAUGGAUGACUAUAGUGGUAUCUACCAGGUCCAUACAGACACUGGAGGGGAUGAGGUGAGAUGGAUGACUAUAGUGGUAUC
Molecule: long non-coding RNA, 443 nt
Organism: Oncorhynchus keta (chum salmon)
Lineage: Eukaryota; Metazoa; Chordata; Actinopteri; Salmoniformes; Salmonidae
Exons: 3
Source: RefSeq, a predicted model, not a curated record